GACGAACGCUGGCGGCGUGCCUAAUACAUGCAAGUAGAACGCUGAAGGAAGGAGCUUGCUCUUUCCGGAUGAGUUGCGAACGGGUGAGUAACGCGUAGGUAACCUGCCUGGUAGCGGGGGAUAACUAUUGGAAACGAUAGCUAAUACCGCAUAAUAGCAGUUAUUGCAUGAUAACUGUUUGAAAGGUGCAAAUGCAUCACUACCAGAUGGACCUGCGUUGUAUUAGCUAGUUGGUGGGGUAACGGCUCACCAAGGCGACGAUACAUAGCCGACCUGAGAGGGUGAUCGGCCACACUGGGACUGAGACACGGCCCAGACUCCUACGGGAGGCAGCAGUAGGGAAUCUUCGGCAAUGGACGGAAGUCUGACCGAGCAACGCCGCGUGAGUGAAGAAGGUUUUCGGAUCGUAAAGCUCUGUUGUAAGAGAAGAACGAGUGUGAGAGUGGAAAGUCACACUGUGACG
Molecule: ribosomal RNA, 463 nt
Filed under: Streptococcus mitis
Lineage: Bacteria; Bacillati; Bacillota; Bacilli; Lactobacillales; Streptococcaceae
Description: bacterial SSU rRNA
Rfam family: Bacterial small subunit ribosomal RNA
Source: RNAcentral